This 782-nucleotide ribosomal RNA is filed under the name Leucobacter tardus. Its description in RNAcentral is "bacterial SSU rRNA". It matches the Rfam family "Bacterial small subunit ribosomal RNA", at positions 77 to 868 of the family's 1533-position model. Lineage: Bacteria; Bacillati; Actinomycetota; Actinomycetes; Micrococcales; Microbacteriaceae. The record is from RNAcentral.
CUUGGUGGGGUGGAUGAGUGGCGAACGGGUGAGUAACACGUGAGUAACCUGCCCAUCACUCUGGGAUAAGCGCUGGAAACGGCGUCUAAUACUGGAUACGAGCAGCGACCGCAUGGUCAGUUGCUGGAAAGACUGGUUCGGUGAUGGAUGGACUCGCGGCCUAUCAGCUUGUUGGUGAGGUAAUGGCUCACCAAGGCGACGACGGGUAGCCGGCCUGAGAGGGUGACCGGCCACACUGGGACUGAGACACGGCCCAGACUCCUACGGGAGGCAGCAGUGGGGAAUAUUGCACAAUGGGCGCAAGCCUGAUGCAGCAACGCCGCGUGAGGGAUGACGGCCUUCGGGUUGUAAACCUCUUUUAGUAGGGAAGAAGCCUUCGGGUGACGGUACCUGCAGAAAAAGCACCGGCUAACUACGUGCCAGCAGCCGCGGUAAUACGUAGGGUGCAAGCGUUGUCCGGAAUUAUUGGGCGUAAAGAGCUCGUAGGCGGCUUGUCGCGUCUGCUGUGAAAACCCGAGGCUCAACCUCGGGCCUGCAGUGGGUACGGGCAAGCUAGAGUGCGGUAGGGGAGAUUGGAAUUCCUGGUGUAGCGGUGGAAUGCGCAGAUAUCAGGAGGAACACCGAUGGCGAAGGCAGAUCUCUGGGCCGUAACUGACGCUGAGGAGCGAAAGCAUGGGGAGCGAACAGGAUUAGAUACCCUGGUAGUCCAUGCCGUAAACGUUGGGAACUAGAUGUAGGGCCUGUUCCACGGGUUCUGUGUCGUAGCUAACGCAUUAAGUUCC